UACGUAGGGUCCGAGCGUUGUUCGGAUUUACUGGGCGUAAAGCGCACGUAGGCGGAUCGUUAAGUCGGGGGUGAAAUCCUGGAGCUCAACUCCAGAACUGCCUUCGAUACUGGCGAUCUUGAGUCCGGAAGAGGUGAGUGGAACUCCUAGUGUAGAGGUGGAAUUCGUAGAUAUUAGGAAGAACACCAGUGGCGAAGGCGGCUCACUGGUCCGGUACUGACGCUGAGGUGCGAAAGCGUGGGGAGCAAACGGG
Molecule: ribosomal RNA, 253 nt
Filed under: uncultured bacterium
Lineage: Bacteria
Description: partial 16S ribosomal RNA
Rfam family: Bacterial small subunit ribosomal RNA
Source: RNAcentral